UAAAUCAGUCAGCCUAAUCUUAAUUGCCCCAAACAUUGAGGCAAUUAAAGAGCGGAGGAACCAAAAAUGGGGCGUAUUUUGGAUUAUCCAAAAAGGAUAUCUCUCAGUCCUAGCCCGUCAGCUAACUUCGUCGGCAUUGAGAGGAGAUUGA
RNAcentral lists this small RNA (151 nucleotides) under Nostoc sp. Its description in RNAcentral is "c-di-AMP sequence". It matches the Rfam family "c-di-AMP riboswitch aptamer (ydaO/yuaA leader)". From Rfam's summary of the family: This family represents a conserved RNA structure found upstream of the ydaO and yuaA genes in Bacillus subtilis and related genes in other bacteria. The record is from RNAcentral. Lineage: Bacteria; Bacillati; Cyanobacteriota; Cyanophyceae; Nostocales; Nostocaceae.